This 305-nucleotide ribosomal RNA is filed under the name uncultured bacterium. Its description in RNAcentral is "bacterial SSU rRNA". It matches the Rfam family "Bacterial small subunit ribosomal RNA", at positions 333 to 655 of the family's 1533-position model. The record is from RNAcentral.
AUUUGCCUACGGGGCGCAGCAGUGGGGAAUAUUGCACAAUGGGGGAGACCCUGAUGCAGCGACGCCGCGUGAGUGAAGAAGUAUUUCGGUAUGUAAAGCUCUAUCAGCAGGGAAGAUAAUGACGGUACCUGAGUAAGAAGCCCCGGCUAACUACGUGCCAGCGGCCGCGGUAAUACGUAGGGGGCAAGCGUUAUCCGGAUUUACUGGGUGUAAAGGGAGCGUAGACGGCAUGGCAAGUCUGAAGUGAAAGCCCGGGGCCCAACCGCGGGACUGCUUUGGAAACUGUUAAGCUGGAGUGCAGGAGG